UGCUGAGUGUGAGGUGUACUUACAGAAGCUGAUGGCAGGCUGCUGUGAAGAGCCCUGCAAACCUCUUGAAAAAUGACUGAACCGUUUUCAUUCCCUGGAUGGAUGCGAACGAGGCUGGAGGAAGGAGCACUCUUCAAAUUUCAGUGUCUGCUUUGAUGAGGGAAAGUAAAAGCCUGACCUGGAAAUUUUAACAGACUCGGAGUGCACCGUAGCACACUGAACCCGUGCUAGAAGUGAGGAUGUCCUGGCCCUUUCUGCUCUGAUUUUUGCCUCCUCAAAUGUCUCUUUCUGAAGUUUUUACUGUAUGUUUGGCUGUUGAAAAUUCAGUUUGCGAAGCUGCCGCCUUCUUUGAUCUUUUUUUUUUUUUUUUUUUUUUUGGAGCUCAUUGAGGUCUAAUGAUUAUUAGAGAGGGCAGGUAUUCUUCACUUUAAAUUUAUCAUUUGCAAGUUAAAAAAUAAACAGCAGUAAACAUUUAAGUGCUUUCUCCCCUCUUGCAGUGACCUGUGCUACAGUUAAAUUACUUGGAGGGAGGUGCCACAUCCAGGGUAGAUCAGUUAUUUGCUUGUUGGUGCCAAAAAAUCCAGCUGCCUUCAAUUAAUUCCUAAAAACACACGAGGUUGUUUUGGCAGUAAAGUUUGUGACUUCCUUUUUUCCUUCCCUCAGAGGUGUUUUUCACCCUGUGAUGCUGGGGUGCAAAAGCAGCUUCGCUGAAGUUUCACAUACUGAUGUGAAUUAAACGCUUAGUGUGUGUGUGUGUGUGUGUGCGUGCGCGCGUUUUCAGGAAGGGCAGCAGCAGUGAGAGCUGGCUACAGAACAGGAACUUAUGGUCUCUUGGGGCUCUCAUGGCUGUCUGAACGUUUGAAGGGUAGACCGCUCAGCGGAGGCAGCACUAGAGAGCAUCGACCUCUAUCUCUGCUGUUUGUAGCCAGCUGGAGACCUGCUUUUAAAGCACAAGCUCUGCCUUUGCCUUUCAAGUGCAAGGUAAAAAUCAUGAAGUCUGGAAGGGACAAAAAAAAAAAAAAAAUGCAUUCGCAUAUUCAAACCUGCUGUGGAACAAAGACUUUUUGGCUCAUGCAGAGAAUAUAGUGGGGCUUUUGUUCUGUAACGGGUGGUUGCAUGCAGUAUGAUUUGUAGAGAA
Long non-coding RNA from Astatotilapia calliptera (eastern happy), 1138 nucleotides. NCBI's taxonomy places the organism in Eukaryota, Metazoa, Chordata, Actinopteri, Cichliformes, Cichlidae. The record is from Ensembl.